This 869-nucleotide ribosomal RNA is filed under the name Rumphia orbicularis. RNAcentral describes it as "eukaryotic LSU rRNA". It matches the Rfam family "Eukaryotic large subunit ribosomal RNA", at positions 41 to 1035 of the family's 3401-position model. Lineage: Eukaryota; Metazoa; Echinodermata; Echinoidea; Clypeasteroida; Laganidae. The record is from RNAcentral.
UAUCACUAAGCGGAGGAAAAGAAACUAACCAGGAUUCCCUCAGUAGCGGCGAGUGAAGCGGGAAGAGCCCAUCGCCGAAUCCCAAAGUCCGACCGGGCCUCGGGAGCUGUGGCGUGAGGCGGCUUCGGGCGCUCGAGUUCGCGGUGCCGAGGUCCUCCUGAUCGGGGCACCUUACCCAGAGCGGGUGUCAGGCCCGUUCAGGCGCCGGAACUCGUGGGCCUGGAGCCACCAAGAGUCGGGUAGUUUUGGAAUGCUGCCCAAAGAGGGGUGGUGAACUCCAUCCAAGGCUAAAUACUGGCACGAGACCGAUAGCAGACAAGUACCGUGAGGGAAAGUUGAAUGUCUCCCCGGCGUUCACUGCUCGCAGUGGUCGCCGAGGGACGGUCGGCGGCGGGAGCGGACGGGUGGCACGUGGCGCCUCGGGUCGCCGGGCGAAGCUGGGCGCCUGCUCGACCCGUCUUGAAACACGGACCAAGGAGUCUAACGGGCCCGCGAGUCAGGGGGCCUCUCGAAACCCCACGGCGCAAUGAAGGUGAAGGUCGAUUCGGUCGACCGAGGUGGGAUCCUCCCUCUUCGCGGGGGAGGCGCACCACCGCCCCGCCAUAUCCGCUCUGCUCGGUGUGGCGGAGGCAGAGCGGGCACGCUAGGACCCGAAAGAUGGUGAACUAUGCCCGAGCAGGAUGAAGCCAGAGGAAACUCUGGUGGAGGUCCGCAGCGAUUCUGACGUGCAAAUCGAUCGUCCGACUUGGGUAUAGGGGCGAAAGACUAAUCGAACCAUCUAGUAGCUGGUUCCCUCCGAAGUUUCCCUCAGGAUAGCUGGCGCUCGACGCAGUUUUAUCUGGUAAAGCGAAUGAUUAGAGGCCUUGGCC